This is a long non-coding RNA of Equus caballus (horse), 1619 nucleotides long. The record is from Ensembl. NCBI's taxonomy places the organism in Eukaryota, Metazoa, Chordata, Mammalia, Perissodactyla, Equidae.
CUCCUCCCUCUCCGCUGCUGCUCUGUGUCCUGACUCCCAGGGUCGUCAGGGAAAGCGCACAGGCUGUCACCCUGCAGUAUAGUUCAGGGGUGGUUCCCGGGCUGACCCUCAAGCUCCCAGCUGCAGAGCAAGGGGUCCAGUCCCCCAGGAAAAAGCCUGGCUACCAGCCUAGCGUGUUCACGGUGAGGCCCCUCCACCCCUGCGGGCUGAAGGCGCCCAGGCUGGCCGAGGCCGUCCUGCCAGGACCCUGUGUUGACCGCACCAGGGCCCCCGACGUGGCUCCCAGACGCCAACCCUGGGUGAGGGCUGCCUUCAGAAUCCCCGUUCCCUGGGAUCCGCCUUCUGCGAUGAGGCUGCGAGGAGCUCUGUGCUGGCGGAGCAGGAGCGGAAGGCUGGCAAAGCCUCUGCAGGAGGCCACGUCUACUGCCAUCAACCUGGCAGCCGAGGCGGGAGGACACGGGUGUAGGUGGCCUCCAGGCACGUUCCUGUUUGUGUGACAUUCACCGUGACACGGAACAAACUGGCGGUACAAAGGGCUCCUGUGUUCUGACAAGCCAAGGGCCUUGCAGGAGCUCAAGGAGAAGAAAGAGCCGGAACGCAAACAAGCACAACCUCUCCUGAAAGCAGACCCCUGGGCAAACACAGGGCCCUCGGCUUCCCGGCCGCACCCUGGGCUCUGCGGUCAAGUGCAGAUCAGCUCACGCUAAGUCGAUUCGGCUCGGCUGGGUUAAGUUCAAGGCCAUUGGGAGCCCAGCCCUGGGGGAGCGAGUGAGCCCAGGAGGUGGGGAGAGGCCAGGAUCUGAACCGUCGAGUGACGAGGGUCCUUCACGACACGCACCAUGCACUGUGACACGGGACACGCAGGGCGGUGCAGCUGUAGGCCGGGCGGUCAGGCCCUUCUUCCCAGGAGGUGGCGGCUGUUCUGGGCUUGGCAGGACGACAGCAGAGGCUGGACGGACGCAGGACAGGGAGGUGGACGAACACGCCCCAACUCAGCAUAAAAGCGUGUGGUGCGUUGACACACGUUGCACCGUCAAGCAGUUGGGACAGAGCGGGCUCGCGUUUGACCAGACUUCACUGAGAACUGAACCCGGCUCACAGGCGUCCACCCCGGGGGCGUGAGGGAACUGACCGCACACUCGCCUCGGGCUUCGCGCAGAAUGAAGCUGGUGUCUCCCCCCACCGCUCAUGUGCCUUCUGAGUUGUGACCCGUAGCCGACACAGGUGGGUCAGGACGCCAUGUGCGUCAGUCCAGAGCAGCGGCAGGAAUAUUCCCGAAAACCAAGACGACACGGGAAGCCAGCUCGGCACUACAGUGACCGUUACCCUCUACACGUCCCACUGAACCCAAAACUGCCCUCGGCCCCUGAACACGAGGAGAGAGAUGGCUCCACAAAUUGACAGAAUCUCGUGAUCACGGGAGCACCUGGCUGCAGCGUGGAGGAGGCCCAAGGGGGACGUCUAGUGUCUGUGUGAGGCCGCAGAACUGCGGGACCCCAGGCAUGCGAGCCUGCGACGUUGCUGGCGGUUGCCAUUACUCUCACUCGGGGCACAGUUCACGCCCACCCACAGCCGGUGAGAGCUGCCGAGAGCCACAUCCCAGCGACGCCUGUUGUCAG